RNAcentral lists this long non-coding RNA (329 nucleotides) under Elaeis guineensis (African oil palm). Its description in RNAcentral is "long non-coding RNA (EGUI_LNC065588)". The record is from RNAcentral. Lineage: Eukaryota; Viridiplantae; Streptophyta; Magnoliopsida; Arecales; Arecaceae.
AGAGCCGCUCAUCCAGUUUUUUCUCAAGUCAUCCCAGUCAAUAAUCACAGCAUAGGUGGUUACUAAAUUGUUUAGAUUAUUUAUUGAUUUUAGGGAAAAUCACAAUAAAACUCCUCCAACUUUCCAUAGGAAAGACUUUUCAUCUAAAAUUUCAAAAUUUUCAUUUAGCCUCUUAAAUUUAUUUCACUGUGUCAAAGUAAUACUUCACUGCAUCAAGAUACUUAUACAUCUAUCAAAUUGGUAUCCAUACAUGGAUAGAUCAAGAUACUAAACAGAUAUGUAUAGAUUGGAUAAAGAUAAGAGGGAUACUAGGGAUACAAAUGAGUGGG